Molecule: transfer RNA, 81 nt
Filed under: Chloroflexota bacterium
Lineage: Bacteria; Bacillati; Chloroflexota
Also listed under: 1 other name
Description: Chloroflexi bacterium (mine drainage metagenome) tRNA-Leu
Rfam family: tRNA
About the family: Transfer RNA (tRNA) molecules are approximately 80 nucleotides in length. Their secondary structure includes four short double-helical elements and three loops (D, anti-codon, and T loops). Further hydrogen bonds mediate the characteristic L-shaped molecular structure. tRNAs have two regions of fundamental functional importance: the anti-codon, which is responsible for specific mRNA codon recognition, and the 3' end, to which the tRNAs corresponding amino acid is attached (by aminoacyl-tRNA synthetases). tRNAs cope with the degeneracy of the genetic code in two manners: having more than one tRNA (with a specific anti-codon) for a particular amino acid; and 'wobble' base-pairing, i.e. permitting non-standard base-pairing at the 3rd anti-codon position.
Source: RNAcentral
GCCUCAGUGGCGGAAUUGGCAUACGCAGCAGUUUGAGGGGCUGUGUCUUCGGACGUGUGGGUUCAAGUCCCACCUGAGGCA